RNAcentral lists this ribosomal RNA (482 nucleotides) under uncultured bacterium. Its description in RNAcentral is "partial 16S ribosomal RNA". It matches the Rfam family "Bacterial small subunit ribosomal RNA", at positions 30 to 507 of the family's 1533-position model. The record is from RNAcentral.
AUUGAACGCUGGCGGCAUGCCUUACACAUGCAAGUCGAACGGUAACGGGCCUUCGGGUGCCGACGAGUGGCGAACGGGUGAGUAAUACAUCGGAACGUGCCCGAUCGUGGGGGAUAACGAGGCGAAAGCUUUGCUAAUACCGCAUACGAUCUACGGAUGAAAGCAGGGGACCGCAAGGCCUUGCGCGGACGGAGCGGCCGAUGGCAGAUUAGGUAGUUGGUGGGAUAAAAGCUUACCAAGCCGACGAUCUGUAGCUGGUCUGAGAGGAUGAUCAGCCACACUGGGACUGAGACACGGCCCAGACUCCUACGGGAGGCAGCAGUGGGGAAUUUUGGACAAUGGGCGCAAGCCUGAUCCAGCCAUGCCGCGUGCAGGACGAAGGCCUUCGGGUUGUAAACUGCUUUUGUACGGAACGAAAAGCCUUCUUUUAAUACAGGAGGGUCAUGACGGUACCGUAAGAAUAAGCACCGGCUAACUACGUG